This 465-nucleotide ribosomal RNA is filed under the name uncultured bacterium. RNAcentral describes it as "partial 16S ribosomal RNA". It matches the Rfam family "Bacterial small subunit ribosomal RNA", at positions 338 to 795 of the family's 1533-position model. The record is from RNAcentral.
CCUACGGGUGGCAGCAGUAGGGAAUCUUCCACAAUGGGCGAAAGCCUGAUGGAGCAACGCCGCGUGGGUGAAGAAGGUCUUCGGAUCGUAAAACACUGUUGUUAGAGAAGAAAGUGCGUGAGAGUAACUGUUCACGUUUCGACGGUAUCUAACCAGAAAGCAACGGCUAACUCCGUGCCAGCAGCCGCGGUAAUACGUAGGGGGCAAGCGUUAUCCGGAUUUAUUGGGCGUAAAGGGAACGCAGGCGGUCUGUUAAGUCGGAUGUGAAAGCCUUCGGCUUAACCGGGGUAGUGCAUUGGAAACUGGGAGACUUGAGUGUAGAAGAGGAGAGUGGAACUCCAGGUGUAGCGGUGAAAUGCGUAGAGAUAUGGAAGAACACCAGUGGCGAAAGCGGCUCUCUGGUCUGUAACUGACGCUGAGGUGCGAAAGCGUGGGUAGCAAACAGGAUUAGAUACCCUUGUAGUC